This 58-nucleotide transfer RNA is filed under the name Rattus norvegicus (Norway rat). Lineage: Eukaryota; Metazoa; Chordata; Mammalia; Rodentia; Muridae. The record is from Rfam by way of RNAcentral.
GGAUGGCUCAGUGGUUAAGAGCUCUUCAAGAGGUCCUGGGUUCAAAUCCCAGCAACCA